GUGAACUUGUGGUGGGCAUUGUUUCUUGGACUGUGGAGCACAUGGAUCCUUAGUUUGGGGUAUAAACGACAGGGGGUUGCUGACAGGUUUGCUUCACUUGCUGCUGCUGGGCUUUCUGGGGCAGGUGCUCUCUCCACUGCUGCUGCAGGAACAGGGGAGCCUAAAAGAAACCUAGGCAGUGGACACCAUGAGAAGUGUUCCCUCCACCAUCCCUACCUUCUGACUUCUAAAGCAAUGUUUCCUUACAAUGGCCAAGGACAUGAUAAGUGAUUAAUUGCCUCUAAUUGGUCAGUGAAUUGACUCACAUGCACCCAUUGUGAUCCUCUCCCUUUCAUUCUUCUUCUAUGCUAUUCUGACUUCAUUUCCUGUCUUCCUUCAUCCUCCCAUAGACUCCUGAUUUAACUGAAUAUAUAAUUGAUUUCUCAGUCUGCCCAGGAAACAAGAUGAAAUGCUGAGUUGAGGAUAAAAAGAUAGCGCAAACAUUUUAUAAGAUUGAGGCAUGAAGUCUUGGUUGAUGGGUGUGCAAUGUCAACUGGCUGCCUUGAGUAGUGCAGACAGAAGCUUUCCCUUGAGCACGAAGGACAAGAAUACAAAUGGUCACCCACAGGCUCACUGCCCCUGACCUGCCCCACCUCCCAGGAAUCGGCUGCUGGGCCAACCAGGAAACCAGGCUCUGCAUCUUGCCUCCCUAGGGAACAGACACCUGAGAGCAGGCAAAAAUCUAAGGACCUCAGAAGGGACUCUUCUCACCCCAACAGCCUCCUAAGCUGGAUCAUGUUAUCCUCAGAAGGAGGGAUCAUCUACUUCUGGAGUCAGUGCCUUUCCAAGUUUCCCUUGCUGGCUCAAGAUGGUGGUGUGGUUUGACGACGACAAAACGAUGCCCUGAUCAUACAGAACAGACUUUUUGUGGUGGAUUCAGCUACCUCAAGAGUGUAUAUACAGGAACAACUGGGCGGCUCAGUUGGCUAAAUGUCUGACUCUUGAUCUCAAAGUUGUGAGUUUAAGCCCCAUGUUGGGCAUCACAAAGUAUUACGCAGUACUGCUUCUACCACCAGGGGACAGGAAAAGGAAUGGGUAAUCUAGAAGCCACUAAUAAAACUAAACGCUUAUCUGAG
This 1115-nucleotide long non-coding RNA is filed under the name Vulpes vulpes (red fox). RNAcentral's name for it is "lncRNA (ENSVVUG00000015753.1)". Lineage: Eukaryota; Metazoa; Chordata; Mammalia; Carnivora; Canidae. The record is from RNAcentral.